This 971-nucleotide ribosomal RNA is filed under the name uncultured bacterium. RNAcentral's name for it is "bacterial SSU rRNA". It matches the Rfam family "Bacterial small subunit ribosomal RNA", at positions 28 to 1011 of the family's 1533-position model. The record is from RNAcentral.
GACGAACGCUGGCGGCGUGCUUAACACAUGCAAGUCGAGCGAUGAAGUUUCUUCGGAAAUGGAUUAGCGGCGAACGGGUGAGGAACACGUGAAGAAUCUGCCCUCCACUUUGGGAUAACACCGGGAAACCGGUGCUAAUACUGAAUAUUGAAACAUAAGUGGCAUCACUGAGUUUUGAAAGAAUUUCGGUGGAGGAUGACUUCGCGGCCUAUCAGCUAGUUGGUGAGGUAAUGGCUCACCAAGGCAACGACGGGUAGCCGGCCUGAGAGGGCGACCGGCCACACUGGGACUGAGACACGGCCCAGACUCCUACGGGAGGCAGCAGUGGGGAAUAUUGGGCAAUGGAGGAAACUCUGACCCAGCGACGCCGCGUGCGGGAUGAAGGCCUUCGGGUUGUAAACCGCUUUCAGUAGGGAAGAAGCGAAAGUGACGGUACCUACAAAAGAAGCACCGGCUAACUAUGUGCCAGCAGCCGCGGUAAUACAUAGGGUGCAAGCGUUGUCCGGAAUUAUUGGGCGUAAAGAGCUCGUAGGUCGUUUGUUACGUCGGAUGUGAAAACCUGAGGCUCAACCUCAGGCCUGCAUUCGAUACGGGCAAACUAGAGUUUGGUAGGGGAGACUGGAAUUCCUGGUGUAGCGGUGGAAUGCGCAGAUAUCAGGAGGAACACCAAUGGCGAAGGCAGGUCUCUGGGCCAAUACUGACACUGAGGAGCGAAAGUCUGGGGAGCGAACAGGAUUAGAUACCCUGGUAGUCCAGACCGUAAACGGUGGGCACUAGUUGUGGGAACCUUCCACGGUUUCUGCGACGCAGCUAACGCAUUAAGUGCCCCGCCUGGGGAGUACGAUCGCAAGACUAAAACUCAAAGGAAUAGACGGGGACCCGCACAAGCGGUGGAGCAUGUGGUUUAAUUCGACGGUAAGCGUAGAACCUUACCUGGGCUUGAAAGGUAGCUGCAAGGCCGGGAAAGCGGC